GAUGAAGAACGUAGCGAAAUGCGAUAAGUAAUGUGAAUUGCAGAAUUCAGUGAAUCAUCGAAUCUUUGAACGCACAUUGUGCCCCCUGGUAUUCCGGGGGGCAUGCCUGUCCGAGCGUCAUUACAACCCUCAAGCUCAGCUUGGUGUUGGGCCCCGCCGCCCCGGCGGGCCCUAAAGUCAGUGGCGGUGCCGUCCGGCUCCGAGCGUAGUAAUUCUUCUCGCUCUGGAGGUCCGGUCGUGUGCUCGCCAGCAACCCCCAAUUUUUUUCAGGUUGACCUCGGAUCAGGUAGGGAUACCCGCUGAACUUAAGCAUAUCAAUAAGCGGAGGA
Molecule: unclassified non-coding RNA, 329 nt
Filed under: soil metagenome
Description: partial contains 5.8S ribosomal RNA, internal transcribed spacer 2, and large subunit ribosomal RNA
Rfam family: 5.8S ribosomal RNA (bases 1-120)
Source: RNAcentral